RNAcentral lists this ribosomal RNA (669 nucleotides) under Kosakonia cowanii. Its description in RNAcentral is "bacterial SSU rRNA". It matches the Rfam family "Bacterial small subunit ribosomal RNA", at positions 89 to 754 of the family's 1533-position model. The record is from RNAcentral. Lineage: Bacteria; Pseudomonadati; Pseudomonadota; Gammaproteobacteria; Enterobacterales; Enterobacteriaceae.
UGACGAGUGGCGGACGGGUGAGUAAUGUCUGGGAAACUGCCUGAUGGAGGGGGAUAACUACUGGAAACGGUAGCUAAUACCGCAUAACGUCGCAAGACCAAAGAGGGGGACCUUCGGGCCUCUUGCCAUCAGAUGUGCCCAGAUGGGAUUAGCUAGUAGGUGGGGUAACGGCUCACCUAGGCGACGAUCCCUAGCUGGUCUGAGAGGAUGACCAGCCACACUGGAACUGAGACACGGUCCAGACUCCUACGGGAGGCAGCAGUGGGGAAUAUUGCACAAUGGGCGCAAGCCUGAUGCAGCCAUGCCGCGUGUAUGAAGAAGGCCUUCGGGUUGUAAAGUACUUUCAGCGGGGAGGAAGGCGAUGCGGUUAAUAACCGCGUCGAUUGACGUUACCCGCAGAAGAAGCACCGGCUAACUCCGUGCCAGCAGCCGCGGUAAUACGGAGGGUGCAAGCGUUAAUCGGAAUUACUGGGCGUAAAGCGCACGCAGGCGGUCUGUCAAGUCGGAUGUGAAAUCCCCGGGCUCAACCUGGGAACUGCAUCCGAAACUGGCAGGCUUGAGUCUCGUAGAGGGGGGUAGAAUUCCAGGUGUAGCGGUGAAAUGCGUAGAGAUCUGGAGGAAUACCGGUGGCGAAGGCGGCCCCCUGGACGAAGACUGACGCUCAGGUGC